GACGAACGCUGGCGGCGUGCUUAACACAUGCAAGUCGAACGGAAAGGCCCUGCUUUUGUGGGGUGCUCGAGUGGCGAACGGGUGAGUAACACGUGAGUAACCUGCCCUUGACUUUGGGAUAACUUCAGGAAACUGGGGCUAAUACCGGAUAGGAGCUCCUGCUGCAUGGUGGGGGUUGGAAAGUUUCGGCGGUUGGGGAUGGACUCGCGGCUUAUCAGCUUGUUGGUUGGGUAGUGGCUUACCAAGGCUUUGACGGGUAGCCGGCCUGAGAGGGUGACCGGCCACAUUGGGACUGAGAUACGGCCCAGACUCCUACGGGAGGCAGCAGUGGGGAAUAGUGCAAAAUGGGCGGAAGCCUGAUGCAGCAACGCCGCGUGCGGGAUGACGGCCUUCGGGUUGUAAACCGCUUUCGCCUGUGACGAAGCGUGAGUGACGGUAAUGGGUAAAGAAGCACCGGCUAACUACGUG
This 468-nucleotide ribosomal RNA is filed under the name uncultured bacterium. RNAcentral describes it as "partial 16S ribosomal RNA". It matches the Rfam family "Bacterial small subunit ribosomal RNA", at positions 28 to 507 of the family's 1533-position model. The record is from RNAcentral.